This 648-nucleotide ribosomal RNA is filed under the name Triticum aestivum (bread wheat). Its description in RNAcentral is "partial small subunit ribosomal RNA". The record is from RNAcentral. Lineage: Eukaryota; Viridiplantae; Streptophyta; Magnoliopsida; Poales; Poaceae.
AUGUCAUGCUUCGACCUAACAAAAACAUUUUGUGCGGAACUGAACACUCUCCUUGGUAAGUUUUUGUGGAGCCAACAAGACAAGCAAAAUGCAAUGCAUUGGAUUAGCUGGGAGAAGUUGUGGCAACACAAGGAGAUGGGUGGAUUGGGCUUUCGGGAUAUGCAUAUGUUUAACUUGGACAUGUUGUCGAGGCAAGGAUGGAGGCUCCUUCAAAAUCCAACCAGCCUGUGUGCAAGAGUUCCGAAGGCUCGAUACUUUCCUAACUAUAGUGCUUUUGAGGCUGAAGCUCGCGAUGGAAUUUCGUACUCAUGGCGAAGCAUUCUGAAUGGGCUGGAUCUUGUGAAGCAAGGUUACAUAUGGAGAAUUGGCGAUGGCACAAGAGUGAAAAUUUGGUUGGACCCAUGGAUGCCAAGACCCUGGUCAAGACAUGUCAUGAAACCAAAAGGAACCAGUUUGCUAACUCAUGUUUCUGAACUGAUAUGCCCAAUUACAGGCGGCUGGGAUGAAGGUCUUGUCAAGGAUACUUUAUGUGCAAAAGAUGCUCGCCAUGUACUAAGCAUCUCGCCGAGGGAGGGGGUGGAUGACUUCAUAGCGUGGCAUUCUGAUAGCAAGGGUAACCACUCGGUGAAGAGUGCAUACAUACUUUAG